AAACGACAACGUCAUUUAGAGACGCCUGCCGUGGAGGCAGCGGAAGUGACGUAGCACGUUGAGCACCAAGAGAGAGGCUUUCCCUCCCAGGAACCCAGACCCCCACAUGGGGAGGGCGUGGCUGCAGCUGGGGCCAUGGUUUCGGAAAUGGGAGGAGAGAUGGGAAGGACGGACGCAGGUUUUCUGAGCCUCUCUACCUAGAGCCUGCCAGGAUAAACCCAAGUUGGGGCCAACAUGUCCAGAACCUCUGCCACGUACAUCGUUCUCCUUAACACCAGUGUGUAGCCAGUAUCAUAAAGGCAAGUACACAGUUCGGAAUCAGUUACUUGCCCUACUGAUCUGUGAAGCUCAGAUUUUUGACUGUACUGUAAUAAAAUAAGAGGUUUUAUAUGUUCAUGACACGUUACGGUAAACGGAGGUGUGGAGACUUCGAAGCAGUCUGGUCCCGGGAGAAAGAAACCUGACCAGUGUUCACGUUAACUGUUCCUCUCUCCCAUGCUCAUUCAGCUCUUAGCUCAAACUCAAGAGACGCCUUCUUCCUUGACCACCCUAGCUAUGAUAGGCCUGGUCAUUCUCUACCCCGCUGUCCUAUAUACUUUUCUUCAAAAUGCUUAUCACUAUUUGAGAUUGUGGUGGGUAUUUUUUUUCCUGUUUUCUGUCCUAGAAUAGAAAAUAAGCAUCAUGAUGCUGGAAUCUUGUCUGUUUCGAACAUGGCUGUAUAAAGAGGUUAAAACAAUGCCUGGCACCAAAAAAAAUUGAAUGGAACGUGUAGUGGUUUGCUUUCAUGUUAAUCUGAGUCGCUUAUUUAUAUUACCGCAAAAUAACGAUCUCGGGAGAAUUUAGUAUGUCCUUAAUUUUUUAAAAAUCAAGUAUUUUAUACUAAUUAAGUAUAACCAAAUAAAUUAUCCUAAGAAUGGUAAGCAAAUUUAACUUCCUAUAACAAACAUAACUUAAAACAUUCAGUGGACAAACAUUAAAAAAUGAUGUCCCAUAAAUCAUAGGCUCAGUAUUACUAAAAAAUCCGAGUAUUACUGGAAUGUUAUUUUCCCUUUCUUGAAAUAAAUUUUAAUAGAAAUUCAACUUGAUGAAGUAAAAAUACAUAAAAGCUUACCUCUUAAUUUAUGGUAACUAUGCAAACAUUCAUUAACAUUUACAGAUAAUUCUUUCUGAACAAAACUAAUCUCAUAUUUUGGAUUCUUAAAAUGGCUCUGGUUUUAACUGUCAUUUUAGGCAAGCCUGAUCAAAACUUCUGUUUUAAUUUGUGUGAUAGGAUUAUUUUUGUUUGCCUGUAUUUUCUAAUCAUUUUUAGAAGAAAAUAUGUCCCUUUUGUGAUAAGAAACUUUUAAAAAAAUACAUUUUGUGCAGAGUUCUCAAUUUCUGUAAUAGCCUGCAUGAGGUGUAAAAUACAAAUGUUGGUUGCAUAGUAAAAUUUAAUUAUAUUUUCUACUCUUUUUCCUGGUAUAGUUGGAGUGUAACUUGACUUAGAUACCACUAAUUUUUAUAAACCGCCAGUACACUUGAUUUGCCAAAUAAGUUUGAAGAACAAAAUAUCAUUCUGUGUGUUAUGUUGUUUAACCCACACAAUGCUGUAUCACAUAAUAAAGCCUCAACAGACUUGGAUUAAAAUAA
Long non-coding RNA from Cebus imitator (Panamanian white-faced capuchin), 1629 nucleotides. RefSeq lists it as uncharacterized. The transcript is spliced from 2 exons. Lineage: Eukaryota; Metazoa; Chordata; Mammalia; Primates; Cebidae. The record is from RefSeq and is a predicted model, not a curated record.